UCCAUUAUGAGAUUUUACACGAGGGGCACCUUACACAGGUCCCAGUUCAACCCCGGUUUUUCAUAUGGUGGAAGAGGAUGGGUGGCCGGAGGGGUUGGCUGUUAUCUUUGGUUAUCUAGCUGUAUGAGUGUUAUUCAUUCUUCAUAAAGCUAGAUAACCGAAAGUAACAAGAAUCCCAUUACACACCUGAAAGGCAUCACCCCACCUUGAGAUCUAUACUUCCCCUCUCCUCUCCUCUUUUCCUUCUCCCUCUCUCCUCCUCAAUCUCUGCAUCUUAUUGCAAGAGCAAGCCACAAAAUGGCCUCCAUCACUGCUGAUAUAGAAGAUCAACCAUCCUUGAUGCCAGGGAAAGGAAAGAGUGAAGAAGCAGGGCAGGUCGGUUGUGUGGCUGUCGUCCUGCUGGCGUUGCUGCUCCCCUCCCCUUCGCUGCUCGCCUGCCCCCUUCCUCCUGUCACGAGAUGCAGUUUGCACAAAGCCACCAUCUUAGAGCAUGCGGGCAUUAAAUGGAAGUGGAAAAUAAGCAGGUUUUUAGAGUCAAGUCGAAUAACGUGAAAUCCAUUAAAUGGAGGAAUGUUCAUACCGACGGCUGAUGGAGUCAGACGGGUUACUUUACUAUGCAUGUGCCCCAACAUCAGAUAAAACAGCACUUUAAUUGUUCUCUAUGACUUAAAUCUUAGCAUUUGUGAAGCAGUUUUACUGUUUUAAUGGCCGUAUAUUGCGAGCCAAGUGUGUGUGUAUGUGUGUGUGUUAAAAAAUAGCUGAGAAACUAACUGUUAAUCUUUCUUUGUACGGGUCUGGGUCAAAGUACUCAACAAACUGUGUAUUUGUACAAACACACUAAUUUUCAAAUUCUCCAAGUAAAAAGGUUUUAUUCGGGCAGUUCUAAUUUAAUAAGGAUUUUGUAGAAAAUGUCAUUUUUAAAGGGCAACCAUUUUGGUACUUUUUGAUAAAAAAGAAUAUAAGAGAUAAAAAUGUGUGAAAGAUUAGGUUUGGCCUAUAAAUCUUAAAAACUGAUUUUAACACUCUGAUCGAGUCUGUCUUGGUACAAUCUUUAGCAUAAUGCACUUUAUAACACACAAACUGAUUUUUUAGUUCAAUAGUUUUCAAUAUUAAAGGACAAUGUAGUGGCCUGUUUAUAUUCCCUAAUGUAUUUCUCUAAUAACUGAUUACUAAUUGAAAUCUAACAUGAAUUAUUAGAAAUAAUGUGUGAGGCUCUGUAGAUUCUGCAUGUAUGAGUGUGAGACCCACGGCAGCAGUGAACGAUACUGCACUCUGAUUGGACAGCUCAGUGUGUUGUAUGUCACACACUUGGACAGAGAGCUGUUGUCUUUAAUUUCUAUGCAAUUGCGUUAGGCUUGCAAUCACCUGGAAGAGAAGGCAGAUCAGAGCAGCUAUUUAUGACAGCAGGUUAAAUUUGUUUUAAUGUGAGAGGAAUAUUUAGCUGAAUAAAUAUGAAUAUUUCAUUCCUCUGACUAAAACUGGUUUCCACAACAAACUGUAAAGUCACUGACCGCUAAAAGCAUCUUCAACUAGCUUUUGUGUUUUUUAUUUUUGUUUCAGCACUCAAAAUAACAAUUUUAAGAGGUAUUAAAUGCUCUCUAAAUGUCUCUCUGUAUUUUGUGUUAAAUCAAUCAUAGCUGAAGAGAACAUUCAGUAUUGAAUAUGCAAAUGUUUUAAGAAUGAUUUACAAUUUGAAGAGAAUUGUGCAAUCUAUUUUGUAAUUAUUUUUCUUAAUUUUAUUUUAAUUACAUUUAUAUUUUUCAGUAAAACUGAGAUAAUCCUUUUUUUUCCCCCUCAAAAUUUGACAAAUCAAGUAAUUGUAAAGACAAUGGAUUGAUGAAAUGGGGCCUUUUACUAUGCAAUUUUUAACCAUACUUUUCUGUGAUUUUGUAGAGAGUUAUGAUUUUCAGCUAGUCAUAGUCCUGUAAUGAUAAUGAUUUAAACAAUUAAAAUCAUAUUUUCUUUUAAUUUUGUAAUGCUAUAGUUUUAUUCUUUUUCUUACUGUAUGUUUUUGUUUAAUGUUGCAGUUAAACGCAAAUGUGUGAGAUAUUUUUGUUCACCAUGACUUAUUUUCUGUUUUACCACAUGUGCCUUUUAACAAUGUCCUGUUAUGGAUAUUAAUAAACGUUUACUUUGAAAACAAA
Molecule: long non-coding RNA, 2144 nt
Organism: Ctenopharyngodon idella (grass carp)
Lineage: Eukaryota; Metazoa; Chordata; Actinopteri; Cypriniformes; Xenocyprididae
Exons: 4
Source: RefSeq, a predicted model, not a curated record